AAAUCCCUAAAUCCCCAAAGCAUAGCCUCUAAAGCACAGCCAUCACAGCCUCUGAAGCACCACCUCCCUCCAUCACCUUAGCCGCCUCAACUCCUCUGUCAUGUCACCGCCUCCGUCGCCUCAACGCUGCCUCAACACCGCCGCCUUCUCCAACUCCAUCGCGGCCUCCUCUUCGCCGCCUCCAACUCCAUCGCCGCCACUAAAUCUCCCUCUCACAUAGUCCCUGCCAUUUCCAGCCCAUCGCCUCCGCCUCCAGAAUCGCUGUUCAGAAUGCGCAUCUCGAGUUUGUAAAAGUUGUGAAGGCGGAACAGCUGGUUGUUGAAGGAAUGUUGUAUUACGUACACUGGAGGCGAAGGAUGGUACAUUGAAGAAAGUUUAUAAGGCAAAGGUUUGGAAGAAGAUAAUGAACCAGCCCAAGGAGCUGCUAGAAUUCAAUCCCAUAAUUGGUGAUGCUCCCGCUGAGCCUUGUGUUGAAAAUGGGGAAUCAGCAAUGAAGAAAUAAUACAUUUGAGACAAAAAAUUCUGUCAUACUUGAGAGAGGAGAACUAUCAGGUCAAUAAGACAACAGGACUCUAAAGGAAGCAACUUCUGUGUUGGACUACAUGCACAGUGUUAUGACUAUAUAUAGUGUUUUUUUGUACAUUUCUGAAUAGUAUAUAUGAUUGUUAAAGUGUUAUUUUUAGUUGAAUAUCUUUUUUGGUAUAAUUUAUUGACAAUUAACACUUAUAUAUAUACUACUUUUGGUGUGUAAAUGUUAAUGGAUAAUGAUUACUUUGGUGUUAUUUGAAUGAUAUGUUUAAUUUUAUGAGUUUUAUUCUAAUUUGAUAUGGAUAAUGAUAUAUAGGUUUGGUGGUUUAUAUCAAAACAUGAUGUUUUUGUCAUUAAUGACUAGCAAUUGUUUUCAUACUAUUAAAAAAAAAAUUAA
This is a long non-coding RNA of Diospyros lotus (date-plum), 925 nucleotides long. RefSeq lists it as uncharacterized. The transcript is spliced from 4 exons. NCBI's taxonomy places the organism in Eukaryota, Viridiplantae, Streptophyta, Magnoliopsida, Ericales, Ebenaceae. The record is from RefSeq and is a predicted model, not a curated record.